RNAcentral lists this long non-coding RNA (528 nucleotides) under Aphidius gifuensis. RNAcentral's name for it is "uncharacterized LOC122849021". Lineage: Eukaryota; Metazoa; Arthropoda; Insecta; Hymenoptera; Braconidae. The record is from RNAcentral.
CUGUCUGUUUGCAUCUGUUCAGUGCAGUUCAGUGGUAGCAAGUGGCAAGUGGUAGCCUGUGGUAGCCCCAUAUUGAAUUUCCUGUAUACUUUAUAGCACUUUAUAGUCUUAUUGAGAGUUGAGUCUUAAAGUCAACACAAUACAUCAGUCAAUAUGUUGCGUCAGCCAUUGCGUUGCCUAUUGCGUCAGCCAUUCAUAAAAUCUGUUAAAACCGCACAGUUUGCGGUUAAAAAUUUUUCGCAACCGAUCCCAAAAGUACUUCAAAGAUCAUAUGGAAAAUUUCAAAUACACGUUGAGCCCUACACGAAACACCCGAAACACGACCACGCAACCAUGCGACGAAGCGAUUUCUUUCUUUUCUUUCUCAUCUUCAUGCUCAUAAUUAUGAGUAAUAAUUCAAGAAGAAGAAGAUGAGAGUAAUUUAGUAACGACUGCAUUCUCUUGGAACUGCAUUCUACUGCUCUUUGAUUAAUUAAAUUUUUUUCUAAUUAUAAAACAAUAGCGUAAUAUUUGAUAAAUCAAUCUAUU